CAGGGAGACAACAAAAUGUUUAAUAUUAUUAUUUUGUCACCUUAGGUCGAUCGGUAUCUCACAUUUUUAAUUUAUUAAGAAUUUCAUUUCCUAAGUUUUUCUAGGUCACACCCAUUAUUUUUCCUGGGCCAUUAGCUCAGGUGGUUAGAGCGCACCCCUGAUAAGGGUGAGGUCCCUGGUUCAAGUCCAGGAUGGCCCAUAUCUCUAUGUUGGGGGUAUAGCUCAGUUGGUAGAGCGCCUGCUUUGCAAGCAGGAUGUCAGCGGUUCGAGUCCGCUUACCUCCACUGAUUACCACCUCUUCCAUAACCGGUAGAAAGGAAAUGUUUUGAGUUGUGAUCGAAUUCUGAAAGAAUCUAGCUUCCUAAUGAAAUCAUUAAGAUGCUGGACUCAUUGAAUUAAUUUCAUUGUUUUCAGAGAACCUUGACAACUGCAUAGAUUAUUUUUAAAGACAAUAAGCAUCUUUAAUGAUGCAGAUUUAUUAUUUGUGCGAAUGCAUUAAUAACAAUUCUAUUAAGCUGAUGCUUCAAUUUUUGAAGUUAUU
This 541-nucleotide transfer RNA is filed under the name uncultured cyanobacterium. RNAcentral's name for it is "partial 16S-23S ribosomal RNA intergenic spacer". The stretch from base 212 to 284 matches the Rfam family "tRNA". The record is from RNAcentral. Lineage: Bacteria; Bacillati; Cyanobacteriota.